Molecule: ribosomal RNA, 446 nt
Filed under: uncultured Geosporobacter sp.
Lineage: Bacteria; Bacillati; Bacillota; Clostridia; Peptostreptococcales; Thermotaleaceae
Description: bacterial SSU rRNA
Rfam family: Bacterial small subunit ribosomal RNA
Source: RNAcentral
UGCCUACGGGGGGCUGCAGUGGGGAAUAUUGCACAAUGGGGGAAACCCUGAUGCAGCAACGCCGCGUGAGCGAAGAAGGCCUUCGGGUCGUAAAGCUCUGUCCUAAGGGAAGAAGAAAAUGACGGUACCUUAGGAGGAAGCCCCGGCUAACUACGUGCCAGCAGCCGCGGUAAUACGUAGGGGGCAAGCGUUAUCCGGAAUCACUGGGCGUAAAGGGUGCGUAGGCGGCCGAUAAAGUCAGGGGUGAAAGGCUACGGCUCAACCGUAGUAAGCCUUUGAAACUUAUUGGCUUGAGUGCAGGAGAGGAGAGUGGAAUUCCUAGUGUAGCGGUGAAAUGCGUAGAUAUUAGGAGGAACACCAGUGGCGAAGGCGACUCUCUGGACUGUAACUGACGCUGAGGCACGAAAGCGUGGGGAGCGAACAGGAUUAGAUACCCGGGUAGUCAC